UAUACAGUGAACACACUCAGAAGAAUUGGAGAAAAUGAGGAGGAGUUUCAACAUCUGAAAAAGCGGUUGGAAAUGGAAAAGAAUCCGGGCAGCAAUGGUGUCAGAGUUGUGCAGAAUUGAAGGAAGAAACCUCAAAGACAGUGCCAGACGGAUGCUGGACAGAACUUCUCUUCAGGUGGUCCCGAAGCAGCAUCAGAUGUCACAGUCUUCAUCAUGGAUAUUUAUUUGUGACUUCACCAAAUGAGGUCAUUCAGACUGGACACUCCCUCAAUGUCUUCUUUAAAUAGGCUCAUUCAUUAUCUCUUCU
This is a long non-coding RNA of Sinocyclocheilus anshuiensis, 307 nucleotides long. RefSeq lists it as uncharacterized. The record is from RefSeq and is a predicted model, not a curated record. Lineage: Eukaryota; Metazoa; Chordata; Actinopteri; Cypriniformes; Cyprinidae. The transcript has 3 exons.